Molecule: small RNA, 286 nt
Filed under: Propithecus coquereli (Coquerel's sifaka)
Lineage: Eukaryota; Metazoa; Chordata; Mammalia; Primates; Indriidae
Description: 7SK RNA (ENSPCOG00000010861.1)
Rfam family: 7SK RNA
About the family: 7SK was discovered as an abundant small nuclear RNA in the mid-70s but a possible function has only recently been suggested. Two independent studies have found that 7SK RNA binds the CDK9/cyclin T complex (known as elongation factor P-TEFb). P-TEFb activates transcription by phosphorylating the C-terminal domain of RNA polymerase II.
Source: Rfam by way of RNAcentral
GGAUGUGAGGGCGAUCUGGCUGCGACAUCUGUGACCCCAUUGAUUGCCAGGGUUGAUUCGGCUGAUCUGGCUGGCCAGGCGGGUGUCCCCUUCCUCCAUCACUGCUCCAUGGGUCUCUCUCUCCUGAAGCUGUGUGCUCAGUCAAAGAGGACAACCUUCCCCAAUAGAGGAAGACCGGUCUUCGGUCAAGGGUAUAUGAGUAGCCGCGCUCCCCUGCUAGAACCUCCAAACAAGCUCUCAAGCCAGCAACUCCUGUCUCUUCCAUUCUCACACCCAGUUGGUCACU